AAACUUUACAAUGCGGGAAACCGUGAUAAGGGGACACCGAGUGCUAGCGUCAUAUGCUGGCUGUCCAGGUGUACACCUGUAGCAAGGGCCGGCAAGACCGGUGCCAGCCGCCGCGGUAACACCGGCGGCCCGAGUGGUGAUCGUGAUUAUUGGGUCUAAAGGGUCCGUAGCCGGUUUGAUAAGUCUCUGGUGAAAUCCUAUAGCUUAACUGUGGGAAUGCUGGAGAUACUAUCAGGCUUGAGGUCGGGAGAGGUUAGGGGUACUCCCAGGGUAGGGGUGAAAUCCUAUAAUCCUGGAGGACCACCUGUGGCGAAGGCGCCUAACUGGAACGACCUGACGGUGAGGGACGAAAGCUGGGGGCACGAACCGGAUUAGAUACCCGGGUAGUCCCAGCCGUAAACGAUGCUCGCUAGGUGUCAGGUGGUGCCGCAGGGAAGCCGUGAAGCGAGCCACCUGGGAAGUACGGCCGCAAGGCUGAACUUAAAGGAA
Molecule: ribosomal RNA, 489 nt
Filed under: uncultured archaeon
Lineage: Archaea
Description: bacterial SSU rRNA
Rfam family: Archaeal small subunit ribosomal RNA
Source: RNAcentral